Long non-coding RNA from Solanum dulcamara, 800 nucleotides. RefSeq lists it as uncharacterized. NCBI's taxonomy places the organism in Eukaryota, Viridiplantae, Streptophyta, Magnoliopsida, Solanales, Solanaceae. The transcript is spliced from 2 exons. The record is from RefSeq and is a predicted model, not a curated record.
UGUUGGUAGGAAAAAAAGUUAUUUAAAAAAAUGAGAAAAGCACUAGUGAAAAAGGGAAAGUAAAUUCUAUAAAUAGUGUUUAAUAUUGAAUGUAUCCUUCUCACUAUCCAACACACUUCCUUCUCAUCCUAUAGCCCUCGUCUCCAUCCGCACCUCCAACCCUACUUUUUUAAAUAUUUGUCUAGAUUAUAUAUAAAUAUCUUUAAGAUAAUAAUUUUUAUUUACUAAUAGAACUAAAGAAAUAGAUAACAUUCAUUUAAAACAUUUUCCUUAGAAUCAAACACACCCUAUAUGGAUUUACAGACGGUAGUAAAUAAUCCAAGUUCCAUCUUUACUUUUAACUCCAUCUGAUUUUCUACAAAAACUCAUUUCUUUUUGAAAAUUCAUGAGCACAUGGAUGUCACCAGAAAUCAAAGCCCCGUUUACAUCAAAUUGCUUUUCUUGAAGGAGUAGAAUUUAUCCUUUUGCUUCAACUACUACAUGAUUUCCACAAGUAGUGAGAAGCUUUUACAAGUUAAAUAACAAGGGUAUUUAAGUAUGUUUGUUUUGCCAAGGUCCAAUUCAAUAUCUAGUCGUCACUACUCACCUAUGUCCGUCGUUAUUCGGCCCGAUCGAUAAAAGUCAAGCUCGGAUGCUCUAGUCCACUUUUUCUGCCUAUGUAAUGUUGAUGUAAGUUAAUUGCCUCUUGGUUCCCUAUGUGGAUGACUUUUGAGCUAUGAAUGAUGAUCAUUUACAUCCUCUUCAUUAUUAUUUGUAUUCCUAUGGAGGCUAAUAAACGUUGCAUAAAUUUGGAUCCUUAA